CUGGAAUGUAGAAAAGCACACCGAGUUCUGAUCUCAGACUCAUUGCUCUUCUCCCUCCUUCCCUCUGCUACCUUUUCAAGUUUUAAUCCAAAUGCAUAGACAUCACAUCCGCCGCAACCGAAAAUCGAAGAUGUACGGAACAAUGUCCGCUGAGAUGACGGUUGAUGUACCCACAACCGAAGCGUGGAAGCUCUACGGAACUCUACAGCUCCCCAAAGUGGCGGAGGAAGCCAACUCCGACUUUAUCAGCCGGUCGACGUCGUCCAAGGGGACGGCAGCACCGGAACCAUUCUCGAGGUUGUUUUCCGUCCAGAGAUGGGAGGGGGAAUAUAGUCGUUCAAGGAGAAAUUCAUGGUGGUGGAUAACGAGAAGCGUGUGAAGGAGGCAGAGGUUGUGGAAGGUGGAUUUCUAUAUCUAGGGUUUACGCUAUAUCGUUUGAGAUUCAAUGUGAUAGAGGUAGAGGGAAACGAGA
Salvia splendens (bonfire salvia) is the source of this 472-nucleotide long non-coding RNA. RefSeq lists it as uncharacterized. The record is from RefSeq and is a predicted model, not a curated record. Lineage: Eukaryota; Viridiplantae; Streptophyta; Magnoliopsida; Lamiales; Lamiaceae. The transcript has 3 exons.